RNAcentral lists this ribosomal RNA (469 nucleotides) under uncultured bacterium. RNAcentral's name for it is "bacterial SSU rRNA". It matches the Rfam family "Bacterial small subunit ribosomal RNA", at positions 331 to 792 of the family's 1533-position model. The record is from RNAcentral.
CCAGACUCCUACGGGAGGCAGCAGUUAGGAAUAUUCGUCAAUGGGGGAAACCCUGAACGAGCAAUGCCGCGUGAACGAUGACGGUCCUCUGGAUUGUAAAGUUCUGUUGUUUGGGAAGAACGGCUCUAAUAGGAAAUGAUUAGAGAUUGACUGUACCAUUCAAGAAAGCCACGGCUAACUACGUGCCAGCAGCCGCGGUAAUACGUAGGUGGCGAGCGUUAUCCGGAUUUAUUGGGUUUAAAGGGUGCGUAGGCGGGCAUUUAAGCCGGCGGUCAAAUGUCGGGGCUCAACCCCGGCCUGCCGUUGAAACUGGCGGCCUCGAGUGGGCGAGAAGUAUGCGGAAUGCGUGGUGUAGCGGUGAAAUGCAUAGAUAUCACGCAGAACUCCGAUUGCGAAGGCAGCAUACCGGCGCCCGACUGACGCUGAGGCACGAAAGCGUGGGUAUCGAACAGGAUUAGAUACCCUGGUA